RNAcentral lists this ribosomal RNA (253 nucleotides) under uncultured bacterium. Its description in RNAcentral is "partial 16S ribosomal RNA". It matches the Rfam family "Bacterial small subunit ribosomal RNA", at positions 524 to 776 of the family's 1533-position model. The record is from RNAcentral.
UACGUAGGUGGCGAGCGUUGUCCGGAAUUACUGGGCGUAAAGGGUGCGCAGGCGGUAAUAUAAGUGGGAUGUGAAAACCCAAGGCUCAACCAUGGGAGUGCAUUCCAAACUGUAUUGCUAGAGUGCAGGAGAGGGAAGCGGAAUUCCUGGUGUAGCGGUGAAAUGCGUAGAUAUCAGGAAGAACACCAGUGGCGAAGGCGGCUUUCUGGACUGUAACUGACGCUGAGGCACGAAAGCGUGGGGAGCAAACAGG